GAACCUGCGGAAGGAUCAUUACCGAGUUUUCGAGCUCCGGCUCGACUCUCCCACCCUUUGUGAACGUACCUCUGUUGCUUUGGCGGCUCCGGCCGCCAAAGGACCUUCAAACUCCAGUCAGUAAACGCAGACGUCUGAUAAACAAGUUAAUAAACUAAAACUUUCAACAACGGAUCUCUUGGUUCUGGCAUCGAUGAAGAACGCAGCGAAAUGCGAUAAGUAAUGUGAAUUGCAGAAUUCAGUGAAUCAUCGAAUCUUUGAACGCACAUUGCGCCCCUUGGUAUUCCGGGGGGCAUGCCUGUUCGAGCGUCAUUACAACCCUCAAGCUCUGCUUGGAAUUGGGCACCGUCCUCACUGCGGACGCGCCUCAAAGACCUCGGCGGUGGCUGUUCAGCCCUCAAGCGUAGUAGAAUACACCUCGCUUUGGAGCGGUUGGCGUCGCCCGCCGGACGAACCUUCUGAACUUUUCUCAAGGUUGACCUCGGAUCAGGUAGGGAUACCCGCUGACCUUAAGCAUAUCAAUAAGCGGAGGAA
Molecule: ribosomal RNA, 534 nt
Filed under: Lasiodiplodia theobromae
Lineage: Eukaryota; Fungi; Ascomycota; Dothideomycetes; Botryosphaeriales; Botryosphaeriaceae
Description: eukaryotic LSU rRNA
Rfam family: 5.8S ribosomal RNA (bases 159-312)
Source: RNAcentral